CACAGACAGCAGGGGGAAGGAAAGUGAUCCAACAGCUACUGCUACAGCUACUGCUACCACUACAGAGUGGGGAAACCAGACAGGGUAUACGGAUGGGGAUGCAUACAAAGGUAUGUCAAUUGGUAUUGGUAUGUUAUGCAGAUCACAUUUACCAACCUCCUCCCUUAUCUCUUCAAUGAAUAUCCCAUAGGCCUCUACAUUAUGGAGAAGACUUCACACUCCCUAUACCUCUGAUGAAUAUAACAGGAGACCUGUUCGAUCACCAUGCACUGCUAAAUCAUUGUGGCUGUGGAUAUGGAGAACAUCAACACAUUAACGUCAACACACCAGAGGAUAAACCCAUUGGACUUGGGGCUCUGCUGGAAGUACAC
RNAcentral lists this long non-coding RNA (371 nucleotides) under Salmo salar (Atlantic salmon). Its description in RNAcentral is "lncRNA (ENSSSAG00000106890.1)". The record is from RNAcentral. Lineage: Eukaryota; Metazoa; Chordata; Actinopteri; Salmoniformes; Salmonidae.